GAUGAACGCUGGCGGCGUGCUUAACACAUGCAAGUCGAACGAUGAAGCCCAGCUUGCUGGGUGGAUUAGUGGCGAACGGGUGAGUAACACGUGAGUAACCUGCCCUUAACUCUGGGAUAAGCCUGGGAAACUGGGUCUAAUACCGGAUAGGAGCGUCCACCGCAUGGUGGGUGUUGGCAAGCUUUAUCGGUUUUGGAUGGACUCGCGGCCUAUCAGCUUGUUGGUGAGGUAAUGGCUCACCAAGGCGACGACGGGUAGCCGGCCUGAGAGGGUGACCGGCCACACUGGGACUGAGACACGGCCCAGACUCCUACGGGAGGCAGCAGUGGGGAAGAGUGCACAAGGGGCGAAAGCCGGAUGCAGCGACGCCGCGUGAGGGAUGACGGCCUGCGGGUUGUAAACCUCUUUCAGUAGGGAAGAAGCGAAAGUGACGGUACCUGCAGAAGAAGCACCGGCGAACUACGGG
RNAcentral lists this ribosomal RNA (466 nucleotides) under uncultured bacterium. Its description in RNAcentral is "partial 16S ribosomal RNA". It matches the Rfam family "Bacterial small subunit ribosomal RNA", at positions 28 to 507 of the family's 1533-position model. The record is from RNAcentral.